AUUGAACGCUGGCGGCAGGCCUAACACAUGCAAGUAGAACGAGUGGCGGAGGGGUGAGUAAUGUCUGGGAAACUGCCUGAUGGAGGGGGAUAACUCCUGGAAACGGUAGAUAAUACCGCAUAACAUCGGAAGUGCCCAGAGGGGAUUAGCUAGUAGGGGGGGUAAAGGAUCACCUAGGCGACGAGCCGUAGCUGGUCUGAGAGAAUGACCAGCCACACUGGAACUGAGACACGGUCCAGACUCCUACGGGAGGAAGCAGUGGGGAAUAUUGCACAAUGGGCGCAAGCCUGAUGCAGCCAUGCCGCGUGUAUGAAGAAGGCCUUCGGUUUGUAAAGUACUUUCAGCUGGGAGGCGUUACCCGCAGAAGAAGCACCGGCUAACUCCGUGCCAGCAGCCGCGGUAAUUC
This 406-nucleotide ribosomal RNA is filed under the name uncultured bacterium. RNAcentral's name for it is "partial 16S ribosomal RNA". It matches the Rfam family "Bacterial small subunit ribosomal RNA", at positions 30 to 526 of the family's 1533-position model. The record is from RNAcentral.